AAUGGUGAUCACGGUGAUAUAAAAAUUGCAUUAAACGGAGGCCGGGAAGGGCCUCAUCGGAGGCAAAAACCGAGGAGGGGCGCGGCGGCGCCGCUGGGUUUCGGCCGUGUUUUCUGGCCAUUUGGCUGGGAUUUUGACUCCGAUUUAGCCACAGGGGAAAUCAGCGUGGAAAAACAAGUCGGGGGUAUGAAAUUUACCUCGAUCGGCGGUCGGAAAUCCCUCCGGUGCGG
Molecule: long non-coding RNA, 230 nt
Filed under: Carica papaya (papaya)
Lineage: Eukaryota; Viridiplantae; Streptophyta; Magnoliopsida; Brassicales; Caricaceae
Description: long non-coding RNA (CPAP_LNC001406)
Source: RNAcentral